GUAAGCGGGAUCAGGUAAGGGUGAAAGGGUGCGGUAAGAGCGCACCGCGCGGCUGGUAACAGUCCGUGGCACGGUAAACUCCACCCGGAGCAAGGCCAAAUAGGGGUUCAUAAGGUACGGCCCGUACUGAACCCGGGUAGGCUGCUUGAGCCAGUGAGCGAUUGCUGGCCUAGAUGAAUGACUGUCCACGACAGAACCCGGCUUAUCGGUCAGUUUCACCU
RNAcentral lists this RNase P RNA (221 nucleotides) under Escherichia coli. Its description in RNAcentral is "partial RNase P RNA component class A". It matches the Rfam family "Bacterial RNase P class A", at positions 134 to 367 of the family's 367-position model. Rfam says of the family: Ribonuclease P (RNase P) is a ubiquitous endoribonuclease, found in archaea, bacteria and eukarya as well as chloroplasts and mitochondria. Its best characterised activity is the generation of mature 5'-ends of tRNAs by cleaving the 5'-leader elements of precursor-tRNAs. The record is from RNAcentral. Lineage: Bacteria; Pseudomonadati; Pseudomonadota; Gammaproteobacteria; Enterobacterales; Enterobacteriaceae.